Engraulis encrasicolus (European anchovy) is the source of this 167-nucleotide long non-coding RNA. RefSeq lists it as uncharacterized. The transcript is spliced from 3 exons. NCBI's taxonomy places the organism in Eukaryota, Metazoa, Chordata, Actinopteri, Clupeiformes, Engraulidae. The record is from RefSeq and is a predicted model, not a curated record.
UUAAGUUGUACAAGAUGCACCAUUUCUGAGGACUUCUGGCACAGUGGCCUGCACUGUUCAAAGUUCGCAAGAUCAGUGCUGAAUUGAAAAGAAUCACCAGUCCCACUGCAAUGGCCAGCACUGUUCAAAGUCCACAAGGUCAUGGAUGAAGUUGCCGUAGACGAAGC